UACAGAGGUCUCAAGCGUUGUUCGGAUUCAUUGGGCGUAAAGGGUGCGUAGGUGGCGUCGUAAGUCAGGUGUGAAAUCUCGGAGCUUAACUCCGAAACUGCAUUUGAUACUGCGGUGCUUGAGGACUGGAGAGGAGACUGGAAUUUACGGUGUAGCAGUGAAAUGCGUAGAGAUCGUAAGGAACACCAGUGGCGAAGGCGGCUGACUGGACAUGUAUUGACGCUGAGGUGCGAAAGCGUGGGGAGCAAACAGG
This 253-nucleotide ribosomal RNA is filed under the name uncultured bacterium. Its description in RNAcentral is "partial 16S ribosomal RNA". It matches the Rfam family "Bacterial small subunit ribosomal RNA", at positions 524 to 776 of the family's 1533-position model. The record is from RNAcentral.